Oncorhynchus mykiss (rainbow trout) is the source of this 1740-nucleotide non-coding RNA. The record is from RefSeq and is a predicted model, not a curated record. Lineage: Eukaryota; Metazoa; Chordata; Actinopteri; Salmoniformes; Salmonidae.
GACGACCUGAAACCGCGGCGCUUUGCCAUUUAAACUAUAUAUUUUGCAGCGGUUGUAGGGUUUAAAUGUCGACCCUCAGAUAUUACAAGACACAUCCAACUAUCUAACAACGUAGGCUGGUGCAGUUUGAGUAUCAGAGAAUGCAGAGAGGGAGGAGGCAGAGGAGUUGGAAGUGCAGACAGAACGUUACAUCCAAGACCUCCAGCAGGCCCUGAGUGGGACUGGAACCUCCUCUACUGACUACAGCUUCACCUUGACCUCUAACCCCGGCCUAUUCCAUGGGUUAUGUGGCAAGUCAUAACAUAGGCUGUGUUUUCUGCCCCAACAAGUUAAGCCAUUUAACGACUUUCCUGAACUAUAACCCUUCCCAAAACUUAACCCUUGGACAUGAUCCUUAAAAAUGCUAAUAUCGGAAACCAUGACUUGAAUUCAAUUUGUGUCACAAAUGCUAAAAUAUUAGCAUUUGGAAACAGUGGCAGGGAAAAUAAAACCAAAGCAUGGAUUGCUGUCAAACCUUGUCCAAAGACUGUUUAUAAGGACCCUCUAACAAGCACUUAUUGAGCUCUAACUAGCACCCAGGAAGGCAUUGAACCCAGGAAGGCAUUGAACCCAGGAAGGCAUUGAACCCAGGAAGGCAUUGAACCCAGGAAGGCAUUCAUGUGGUGAAGUAACUCUAGGCUCUAGGAGGUUGCCAUGCGUUAAGAGUGUCAUAUACCUGAAGGCCAGUGGUGUGAUGCAAUACCGCUAUGUUAUUAUCACAACCUUGGGAAAUUCGGCUUGCAGCUUCACAUUAUAUUAAAACACACAAGUCAGUCAGGCAAUCAUACCAACAGCGGGGUUGUAUUGGUACUACAGUUGAUGGAUCAUUCAGGAGUGUUUGUUGUUGCUUUCGAGUGCUAAUAUAAGGCUCUGUGAUGUCAUCCUAUGAUAUUCAUGUCUUCCUCCCACUCUGUGCUUUGACAGGAAAAUGAUCCUCAUCACGUUGUAAAGUAGAAUACAGCACUAUCACUAUGGAGGUAAACACACACACACAGCCAACUAACAGCUUAGUGACGGUCAGUGUGCUCAGAGGUCGACCACAUGCGCACACACACACACAUCUGCUUUGAGCUGUGUUGCCAUAGUAAUAAUGUAAUGAUAGAAUGGAAAUCCUAGUGCAUGUGUUUCAGUAGAAAAUGGAAAUGAAUAGAAUUGACUGUUUCAGAAACGAGAGUUUUGGACAAGGCCAUUCACAGAACACACUGUGGUGUAUCAUCCCUGAGGAAAAAGCGCCUAACAUUUUUCUGUUGCUCAACAGUUAAUAAUAAAUAUGAAUUAAUUCAUCAUAGAGAUAUGACUCAUUACUAUUAAAGGGUCCAUGUCUAAUGUGGGGUGGCAGGGUAGCCUAGUGGUUAGAGCGUUGGACUAGUAACCGGAAGGUUGCAAGUUCAAAUCCCCGAGCUGGCCUGGACUGGAGAGUUAGAAACAUCUGGGUGGUUGUUGGGUAGGCCUUGAUGUAAAGAUUGGAAUGUGAUCUUCAUGUUUUUACUGCACAUGACUGUCCCAGAGCAUCAGCCCCAGGACGGCUCCCACAUAGCUGUGAGUGGAUUAUCACUAUUAUCGUGCCAGCAGUGAUCAGUUUAUCAUCAUAACAGCAACAUGCGUUUGACUAUAAACGCCCUGUAGCACUCACUUCCGUCAUCAUGAAGUGCUUUGAGAGACUAGUCAAGGAUCAUAUCACCUCCAUCCUACCUGACACCU